GAUGAACGCUGGCGGCGUGCCUAAUACAUGCAAGUCGAGCGAACAGACGAGGAUCUUGCUCCUCUGACGUUAGCGGCGGACGGGUGAGUAACACGUGUAUAACCUACCUAUAAGACUGGGAUAACUUCGGGAAACCGGAUCUUAUACCGGAUAAUAUAUUGAACCGCAUGGUUCAAUAGUGAAAUACGGUUUUGCUGUCACUUAUAGAUGGUUCCGCGCCGCAUUAGCUAGUUGGUAAGGUAACGGCUUACCAAGGCAACGAUGCGUAGCCGACCUGAGAGGGUGAUCGGCCACACUGGAACGGAGACACGGUCCAGACUCCUACGGGAGGCAGCAGUAGGGAAUAUUCCGCAAUGGGCGAAAGCCUGACGGAGCAAAGCCGCGUGAGUGAUGAAGGUCUUCGGAUCGUAAAACUCUGUUAUUAGGGAAGAACAAAUGUGUAAGUAACUAUGCACGUCUUGACGGUACCUAAACAGAAAGCCACGGCUAACUACGUG
This 497-nucleotide ribosomal RNA is filed under the name uncultured bacterium. Its description in RNAcentral is "partial 16S ribosomal RNA". It matches the Rfam family "Bacterial small subunit ribosomal RNA", at positions 28 to 507 of the family's 1533-position model. The record is from RNAcentral.